RNAcentral lists this ribosomal RNA (292 nucleotides) under uncultured bacterium. Its description in RNAcentral is "partial 16S ribosomal RNA". It matches the Rfam family "Bacterial small subunit ribosomal RNA", at positions 505 to 796 of the family's 1533-position model. The record is from RNAcentral.
GUGUCAGCAGCCGCGGUAAUACGGAGGGUGCAAACGUUGCUCGGAAUCAUUGGGCGUAAAGCGCACGUAGGCGGUCCAGCAGGUCGGGUGUGAAAGCCCUCGGCUUAACCGGGGAAGUGCAUUCGAAACUACUGGGCUUGAGGUCGGAAGGGGAAAGUGGAAUUCCGGGUGUAGUGGUGGAAUACGUAGAUAUCCGGAGGAACACCGGUGGCGAAGGCGGCCCCCUGGACCGGAACUGACGCUGAGGCGCGAAAGCGUGGGUAGCAAACGGGAUUAGAUACCCCGGUAGUCC